AGAUACCGUCGUAAUCUUAACCAUAAACUAUGCCGACUAGGUUUUGGAUGAAACAUUUUUAAAUAAGAAAAUUCCUUUCGGGGAAAUUUC
This 90-nucleotide ribosomal RNA is filed under the name Plasmodium ovale (malaria parasite P. ovale). Its description in RNAcentral is "partial 18S ribosomal RNA". Lineage: Eukaryota; Apicomplexa; Aconoidasida; Haemosporida; Plasmodiidae. The record is from RNAcentral.